Molecule: long non-coding RNA, 506 nt
Organism: Rhipicephalus microplus (southern cattle tick)
Lineage: Eukaryota; Metazoa; Arthropoda; Arachnida; Ixodida; Ixodidae
Source: RefSeq, a predicted model, not a curated record
GAAGAACUUCCGGCGGGGCCGCGAGGCGACGCGUUGGUCCGCGAUGCAACGACCGGGAGCACAGUGCGUGUGGUAGCUUCGCUCAUGCUAGCUCGCGGCGUUGUCGCCCAGCAUCGAGAGCCCAUUCCAUUGUCGUCCGUGGUAGCCGCUUAGGAUUACGAUCAUUGGACGCCGACGCGGAACCCACAACAGGUAAGGCAUCCUGUUUCCUCCCCCGGGGCUCACUCAGCUGCAACCGACCGGGCUUUCUGGCACUCGUGAGGCAAUUCGGCGCACUUCCAGCGCGAGUUUUGCAAUCUUAUCCAGUUGUAUAGAACACCUUCUGCUGCCGCUAUCGACAACUCCAACAGCACGUACAUCGCGCUCAACUCGAAGCGCCGUUGGUGAAUAGAUAGCUCUAUUAACGCCACUAAGUGGUGUACGGCUGUAAUUCUUGAGAAGGUCUAUGUGGAGCUUGGAUGAUGUACGAAGCUUGCGGUAUAUUGUCGAAAAUAAAACUUAAAAAA